CUCAAGCAGUGAUGAUGAUGGCUUCAUGUCAUACCCUGAAUGCUCCCUGUGGGUUAAAAGUCACUAUCUCAUCUGAGCUUGAA
Triplophysa rosa is the source of this 83-nucleotide small nucleolar RNA. RefSeq annotates it as small nucleolar RNA SNORD11B. The record is from RefSeq and is a predicted model, not a curated record. The transcript has a single exon. NCBI's taxonomy places the organism in Eukaryota, Metazoa, Chordata, Actinopteri, Cypriniformes, Nemacheilidae.